AACGAACGCUGGCGGCAGGCCUAACACAUGCAAGUCGAGCGCCCUUUCGGGGGAGCGGCGGACGGGUGAGUACCGCGUGGGAAUAUGCCCUUCUCUACGGAAUAGCCUCGGGAAACUGAGAGUAAUACCGUAUACGCCCUGUGGGGGAAAGAUUUAUCGGGGAAGGAUUAGCCCGCGUUGGAUUAGGUAGUUGGUGGGGUAAUGGCCUACCAAGCCGACGAUCCAUAGCUGGUUUGAGAGGAUGAUCAGCCACACUGGGACUGAGACACGGCCCAGACUCCUACGGGAGGCAGCAGUGGGGAAUCUUAGACAAUGGGGGCAACCCUGAUCUAGCCAUGCCGCGUGAGUGAUGAAGGCCUUAGGGUUGUAAAGCUCUUUCAGCUGGGAAGAUAAUGACGGUACCAGCAGAAGAAGCCCCGGCUAACUCCGU
Molecule: ribosomal RNA, 430 nt
Filed under: uncultured bacterium
Lineage: Bacteria
Description: partial 16S ribosomal RNA
Rfam family: Bacterial small subunit ribosomal RNA
Source: RNAcentral